GUAAGGAAUAUUGGACAAUGGGCGCAAGCCUGAUCCAGCCAUGCCGCGUGCAGGAAGACGCAUCUAUGGUGUGUAAACUGCUUUUGUACGGGAAGAAACACUCCCUCGUGAGGGAGCUUGACGGUACCGUAAGAAUAAGGAUCGGCUAACUCCGUGCCAGCAGCCGCGGUAAUACGGAGGAUCCAAGCGUUAUCCGGAAUCAUUGGGUUUAAAGGGUCCGUAGGCGGUUUAAUAAGUCAGUUGUGAAAGCCCAUCGCUCAACGAUGGAACGGCCAUUGAUACUGUUAGACUUGAAUUACAAGGAAGUAACUAGAAUAUGUAGUGUAGCGGUGAAAUGCUUAGAUAUUACAUGGAAUACCAAUUGCGAAGGCAGGUUACUACUUGUGGAUUGACGCUGAUGGACGAAAGCGUGGGGAGCGAACAGGAUUAGAAACCCCUGUAGUCC
Molecule: ribosomal RNA, 445 nt
Filed under: uncultured bacterium
Lineage: Bacteria
Description: partial 16S ribosomal RNA
Rfam family: Bacterial small subunit ribosomal RNA
Source: RNAcentral